This 917-nucleotide long non-coding RNA is filed under the name Chrysemys picta bellii (western painted turtle). RNAcentral describes it as "lncRNA (ENSCPBG00000006799.1)". Lineage: Eukaryota; Metazoa; Chordata; Testudines; Emydidae. The record is from RNAcentral.
UAACAGUAGAAACAAGAAUCCAUGUUGAAUUAGUUUGAAGAGGGAUACAAUCUCUAGCCAGAUGUCUAAUAAAAACAUAGUGAGUCAGAGAAAGCAUGUAUGCUCUUGUAAUUUGUAAUUUGCAGCAUUCCAUGGAUGAAAAGUUCACUGCAAACCAAGCUGCAUUUAACAAUUCCCUCUUCUCUCUGUUGUUCAGAACAUAGUUUCAUAGCUGAAAGUCUAGGGGGGAAGGAAGUUUUAUAUAUUCAUUCAUAUUUCAUAAUAACAGAAUAAAAGUGUAAUUCUAGUUUGGAAAGUGUGCAUCCAAAAAUGGCAACUUCUACCGGAACAGAUCUGCUUGCUGUAGCUAUUCAAAGUAGUAUCUGCUUAUUUUAGUGGCAAAAAUAUGUUUUCACUGACUAAUUUACCAUCAACAGAAUUAUAAGUUAAAUUUCAACUACAUGGCUAAAUUCUUCUGUCAUUUACACUCAAGUAGCCCACUGAGGAAACCAGUUCUUCUGCAGUCACAGAGGAAAGGGCGGGUUUUACCCCAGUAUGAGUAUUCCAGUUAUGUAUCACAAACAAGGUUCUAUAUAUAAACUGAAAUGAUGCAGAAUUUUAAAUGCUCACAAUAAUAGCUCUCUACCUGUUUUCUGUCAUAUGGACAAGAACUUGCUACUGUGUGACUGGAAACUUACCCUGGCAGCCCCACAGUGUGUUAAUGUACUGAGCAGUAAUGAAGUUACAGUGAUGGAUUUUCCUCGACUAUCACAUUUGCUGGUACUCUUCCUCCUCGGAAAUAACUAGUUCAAGGACACCAUAAGAUCUCUUUGCAUAUAAAGUGGACCUUCAGUACUCUGUGAAACUGGGUGACAAAACCCUCUGAUGUGAUGUGUUUUAUUAUUCAGCUCAGAGAGAAGGAUGGAAGAAUGGGGCCA